This 924-nucleotide ribosomal RNA is filed under the name uncultured Bacteroidota bacterium. Its description in RNAcentral is "bacterial SSU rRNA". It matches the Rfam family "Bacterial small subunit ribosomal RNA", at positions 1 to 916 of the family's 1533-position model. Lineage: Bacteria; Pseudomonadati; Bacteroidota. The record is from RNAcentral.
GGAUCCAGACUUUGAUCAUGGCUCAGGAUGAACGCUAGCUACAGGCUUAACACAUGCAAGUCGAGGGGAAACGACAUCGAAAGCUUGCUUUUGAUGGGCGUCGACCGGCGCACGGGUGAGUAACGCGUAUCCAACCUGCCCACCACUUGGGGAUAACCUUGCGAAAGUAAGACUAAUACCCAAUGAUAUCUCUAGAAGACAUCUGAAAGAGAUUAAAGAUUUAUCGGUGAUGGAUGGGGAUGCGUCUGAUUAGCUUGUUGGCGGGGUAACGGCCCACCAAGGCUACGAUCAGUAGGGGUUCUGAGAGGAAGGUCCCCCACAUUGGAACUGAGACACGGUCCAAACUCCUACGGGAGGCAGCAGUGAGGAAUAUUGGUCAAUGGACGAGAGUCUGAACCAGCCAAGUAGCGUGCAGGAUGACGGCCCUAUGGGUUGUAAACUGCUUUUAUAAGGGAAUAAAGUGAGUCUCGUGAGGCUUUUUGCAUGUACCUUAUGAAUAAGGACCGGCUAAUUCCGUGCCAGCAGCCGCGGUAAUACGGAAGGUCCGGGCGUUAUCCGGAUUUAUUGGGUUUAAAGGGAGCGUAGGCCGGAGAUUAAGCGUGUUGUGAAAUGUAGACGCUCAACGUCUGCACUGCAGCGCGAACUGGUUUCCUUGAGUACGCACAAAGUGGGCGGAAUUCGUGGUGUAGCGGUGAAAUGCUUAGAUAUCACGAAGAACUCCGAUUGCGAAGGCAGCUCACUGGAGCGCAACUGACGCUGAAGCUCGAAAGUGCGGGUAUCGAACAGGAUUAGAUACCCUGGUAGUCCGCACGGUAAACGAUGGAUGCCCGCUGUUGGUCUGAAUAGGUCAGCGGCCAAGCGAAAGCAUUAAGCAUCCCACCUGGGGAGUACGCCGGCAACGGUGCAACUCAAAUGAAUUGACGG